CUGGAGGUAAUAGAAGGUGAGGCCAGUUGAGACCAUGUGGCCUUCACUGAUACCCACCUCCUAGAAUAACACAGCAGAGAGAACCACCCUGGUCUACAGACACACCACGGUUACUGCUGCUGCUCACAACA
Molecule: non-coding RNA, 131 nt
Organism: Hucho hucho (huchen)
Lineage: Eukaryota; Metazoa; Chordata; Actinopteri; Salmoniformes; Salmonidae
Source: Ensembl